This 1381-nucleotide long non-coding RNA is filed under the name Vitis vinifera (wine grape). Its description in RNAcentral is "long non-coding RNA (VVIN_LNC000518)". The record is from RNAcentral. Lineage: Eukaryota; Viridiplantae; Streptophyta; Magnoliopsida; Vitales; Vitaceae.
CCAUAUUCCCCACUUCCACCGCAACCGCACCCCCACUCACCUCUUCUCUUCUUGUUAGUUUUUAUCCAUAUUCCCCAUUUGGAUAUAAAAACAUAAAAGCCAAUUUUUAGACUUUUUAUCGUAAAUUCUUAGACUUUCCAAAUCCAUGAAGAUAUUCUCAGCUUUUACAACCAACAUGAUUUUAUAAGCCACGUAUCAGUUAUCCUAUCUUUUUCUCCUUUUUCUCUUUUUCUUCUUUUCUUUAUCAUAAAUUUAUGAAUAAAAAUUGAUUUAUAAUAAUUCUAUUAUUAUGAUUAUUAUUUUUUUUUCACGUAAUCAAAUUUUUAUAAAUUUUUUUACUAAACAAAUAAACUUAAAUUAGAUGUCACUUUUUAUAGUAAAUUUUUGGACUUUCCAAAUCCAAGGAGACGUUCUCGACUUUCACAACCAACAUACUUUCAUAAGCCACUUAUCAAUCAUCCCAUUUUUCUUCUCCUUCUUUUUCUCCUUUCCUUCUUUUCCUUUUUUUUUUUUCCCUCUUCUCUGUGUCUCUUUUCCCCAUCAAACCCAUAUUCCCCGUUUCCUUCUUUUCUCUUUUCCUUCUUUUUCCAUUUUUUUUAUUCUUCUUUUUAUUUCUUUUCCCCUAUCAAACCCAUAUUCCCCACUUCCACCGCAACCGCACCCCCACUCACCUCUUAUCUUCUUCUCCCAUUUUUUUCUUGUUUUUAUUUAUUUUCUUUUUUUCCUCAUGCUUUUUUCCACGCUAAUACCCAUGGAUUGUGAGACCCAUCUCACCAUCUCUCCCCCUCCCCGUUGCUGCUGAUCGUGGUCGUCUUUUCUCUUGGCGGUCGCCGAUCUUGCUUGCUCCUCUGCAAUAAUCAACCAACCAUCUGAAUUCAUUCUGCAAUUUGGAGCUCCUCAGGCACAUACAUCAGGACAGAUGUCGGGGCAGGUACCUAAUCAAGCUGGAAGUCAGUUGCGCGGAUUGCCACAGCAAAAUGGAAGUUCUCUCCCUUCCCAGAUUCAAAAUCUAGAUGCACAUCGUAAUACACGGAAAAGUAUGCAACGCAAAAUCUAUGAAUAUAUUAUACAGCGACAGUCAUCUCCCCACGAUCUUCAACCGAAGAGGGUGGCAGAUAUUGUUAGGCGCUUGGAUGAUGUUUUAAAUUUUCUGUGUAUUGUGUUGUUUCGAUAAAUUCUCAAUCUUUAUUAAUAUUCUUAUUGUUUUUUUAUGGCCCAUCAUUACUCCGUUCAUUAAAAGCUAGUAUCAAAGCAAGAUAGAAUAUGGUGACUAUAAUGCUUGAUGUCAAGAAGUUCUCAGGAGACAACAACUUCAAUUUAUGGAAGAUGGUGUGUUCAUCAUUCUCUAGUUUACUCCUUUUAUCAAAUUGAAACAUUUACC